GACGAACGCUGGCGGCGUGCCUAAUACAUGCAAGUUGAGCGCUGAAGGUUGGUACUUGUACCAACUGGAUGAGCAGCGAACGGGUGAGUAACGCGUGGGGAAUCUGCCUUUGAGCGGGGGACAACAUUUGGAAACGAAUGCUAAUACCGCAUAAAAACUUUAAACACAAGUUUUAAGUUUGAAAGAUGCAAUUGCAUCACUCAAAGAUGAUCCCGCGUUGUAUUAGCUAGUUGGUGAGGUAAAGGCUCACCAAGGCGAUGAUACAUAGCCGACCUGAGAGGGGGAUCGGCCACAUUGGGACUGAGACACGGCCCAAACUCCUACGGGAGGCAGCAGUAGGGAAUCUUCGGCAAUGGACGAAAGUCUGACCGAGCAACGCCGCGUGAGUGAAGAAGGUUUUCGGAUCGUAAAACUCUGUUGGUGGAGAAGAACGUUGGUGAGAGUGGAAAGCUCAUCAAGUGACGGUAACUACCCAGAAAGGGACGGCUAACUACGUG
This 497-nucleotide ribosomal RNA is filed under the name uncultured bacterium. RNAcentral describes it as "partial 16S ribosomal RNA". It matches the Rfam family "Bacterial small subunit ribosomal RNA", at positions 28 to 507 of the family's 1533-position model. The record is from RNAcentral.